UUAGUUAUAGCUAAAGAAGCAAAAUCAUUGUUAAUGAUUAGAUGAGUUAGAGCUCUGACUAAG
RNAcentral lists this transfer RNA (63 nucleotides) under Lepas anserifera. Its description in RNAcentral is "tRNA-Asn". The record is from RNAcentral. Lineage: Eukaryota; Metazoa; Arthropoda; Thecostraca; Lepadidae.